CGGCAGUUAGAAGAUGAAGGUAGGUUCAGGGAGGAGGAGGAAUAAGUAUAGAUGGAGGAGGAGAGGAGUGGCGAACGGGUGAGUAACACGUGGGUAACCUGCCCAUCAUAAGGGGAUAACACUUGGAAACAGGUGCUAAUACCGUAUAACAAUCGAAACCGCAUGGUUUUGAUUUGAAAGGCGCUUUCGGGUGUCGCUGAUGGAUGGACCCGCGGUGCAUUAGCUAGUUGGUGAGGUAACGGCUCACCAAGGCCACGAUGCAUAGCCGACCUGAGAGGGUGAUCGGCCACAUUGGGACUGAGACACGGCCCAAACUCCUACGGGAGGCAGCAGUAGGGAAUCUUCGGCAAUGGACGAAAGUCUGACCGAGCAACGCCGCGUGAGUGAAGAAGGUUUUCGGAUCGUAAAACUCUGUUGUUAGAGAAGAACAAGGAUGAGAGUAACUGUUCAUCCCUUGACGGUAUCUAACCAGAAAGCCACGGCUAACUACGUGCCAGCAGCCGCGGUAAUACGUAGGUGGCAAGCGUUGUCCGGAUUUAUUGGGCGUAAAGCGAGCGCAGGCGGUUUCUUAAGUCUGAUGUGAAAGCCCCCGGCUCAACCGGGGAGGGUCAUUGGAAACUGGGAGACUUGAGUGCAGAAGAGGAGAGUGGAAUUCCAUGUGUAGCGGUGAAAUGCGUAGAUAUAUGGAGGAACACCAGUGGCGAAGGCGGCUCUCUGGUCUGUAACUGACGCUGAGGCUCGAAAGCGUGGGGAGCAAACAGGAUUAGAUACCCUGGUAGUCCACGCCGUAAACGAUGAGUGCUAAGUGUUGGAGGGUUUCCGCCCUUCAGUGCUGCAGCUAACGCAUUAAGCACUCCGCCUGGGGAGUACGACCGCAAGGUUGAAACUCAAAGGAAUUGACGGGCGCCCGCACAAGCGGUGGAGCAUGUGGUUUAAUUCUAAGCAACGCAAAAAACCUUACCAGGUCUUGACAUCCUUUGACCACUCUAGAGAUAGAGCUUCCCCUUCGGGAGCCAAAGUGACAGGUGGUGCCUGGGUUGUCAUCCACCUCGUGUCCGAGAUAAUGUUUGUGUUAAAGUCCCGCAACCGAGCGCCACCCCUAAUUGUUAACUGCCCUGCAUUAGGGUGGAGCACUCGAAAAAGACUGCCGUUGAACAAACCAGAAGAAGAAGAGGAGCAUGACCUCAGAUGAUUAGAGCCCCUCUAUCACCCGGAGCAACAGGAGGAGCAGACAUCCCCAAUUACAAGAGGAUUGACGGAAGCCUGCGAGGUUGAAGACGAUCCCCCAACAGGUUACCAAUCUAAUUCGAAUUGACUGGGCUAGCCAUUCACACGGAGCCAAGUACGAAUAACGCUUGAUUAACCAACCAGACACCGAUCCCGUUAUAAAGAAUAGGAUCCAAUGGAAUUACCGUAGCACGCGAUCCCUAGCACCUCAAGCCAGGUUGAAAAGGCCAGGGAACUCCAUGCAAUGGAAAUUCCCUUUGGUCAAUGUUCACCGCCCUGGUGUGGGGAGAGACGGCAGAGGCCAAGGGGCCGACCCCACUUUAAA
This 1552-nucleotide ribosomal RNA is filed under the name Enterococcus sp. Its description in RNAcentral is "bacterial SSU rRNA". The stretch from base 1 to 1370 matches the Rfam family "Bacterial small subunit ribosomal RNA". The record is from RNAcentral. Lineage: Bacteria; Bacillati; Bacillota; Bacilli; Lactobacillales; Enterococcaceae.